This is a long non-coding RNA of Triticum aestivum (bread wheat), 1571 nucleotides long. RefSeq lists it as uncharacterized. The record is from RefSeq and is a predicted model, not a curated record. The transcript has 6 exons. Lineage: Eukaryota; Viridiplantae; Streptophyta; Magnoliopsida; Poales; Poaceae.
GCCGCGCGCAUCUGGAAACUACGCCCCGCCAUGGAGCCCUCUUUUCGCGCCUGUCAUCGCGCACGCCCAAAUCCAAUCCCCCCCAGAUCUCCUUAUCCUUUCCUUCUGCGCCGCCCAAUCCCUCUGCUUUUGAGGCCUCCGACCACCAUCCCUCCAUGGCUCCCCGCCUUCCAAGGUCACCCGAGCGCCUCAACCCGCACUCUAUGAUGUGGAUCUGUACCCGCCGGCCACCACCAUCCAUGGCUCCUCCGCUAUUGGGACACGGCGUCGUCCCAUCUCCGUUCUGGAUAUCACCAUGCGACACCAACGCUUGUCCUCCUCCUCCACCAUGGCCCUGCUCAGACCACGCCGCCAUCGAUGCCACCGUUGAGAAUCCACCCCAACUCGAGCAGUUCACCGGCGUCAUGGAGGAAGCGCUAAGCAGCUGCAUUGCAAAUAUGAGGAACAUCAUCCGUGCAAGAAGUUCAGAUUCACUCGACGGCAAGAAAUAGUGUCAUAUUUUUCUUCCAAAUAGUAUGUACCAUUCCCCACAUUGAUACUUAUGAUCACCCAUUUGAUAUCUCCUUUUCCUAGUUACAGUUCAUCCAGGUCAGGAGUAGGAUUUAAGGUUCAUGAUCCAACUAUAAGAGACGUGUAAAAUCCUUUGCCCUUGACAUGAUCAUGCUAUCUUCAAUAUGCUCAAGAACAUCUGAAAUGCACCUAGACAUUAUAUUUCAAAGUAUUGACAAUGAAACUGUACCAGGAAAGGAUUAUUACCAGCAGCUAUGCUCAAGAUAUGAAUGCUCUGUUAUAACAAUGAACAAGCUAGGGAUACGUUCAGGGGCUCCUAUCAUGGGCCAUACUAUAUGUCAUCUUAAUUUAGUUACUCCUUUUACUACUUGCUUCUUGGAAUUUCCUAUUCUCUUGUUAUCCUCCCUCCGUUCCGAAUUACUUGUCGUAGAAAUGGAUGUAUCUAGACAUUUUUUUCCAUUUCUAUGACAAGUAAUUCCGAACGGAGGGAGUAGUACUUAACAGUUCUAGUGCAUUCCUCAUAUUUAAGCUCACCGUGUUCUUCCUUCUCCCUUAAGUUGUAUUUGGUUUCUCUUUCUUAUAUUAAAGAUUGAACAAUUGCAGUGCAAGCACACAAUUGGAUGUUCCUGCUGGAGAAGGUUUUUGGGAAGAAUUAAACGAACAUCAUCAGUGCAACAUAGAGGCUGAAGCAGGUGGUUGAGUUCGCAAUUCAUUCUUAUUAGGAGAAAAAUUCAAGAUCACGUAUCUGUGAGAUAUGCAAGAGCCUCCAAUCAAGGGUAACCUUGAAGGGAAGUUUGCAACUUAAGCUGCAACCAAAGAUUAUAGAAAAUGAGGUCUCUUCUUGUGUAUAUUUAGUUGAUGCACUUGUGUGUUUUUAGAUGUUGCACCUCUGUUUCCAUUGACCUUCGAUUCAUGUACGUAAAUUCUAUGGAACUGUAUCCGAAGACAUGUGAAUUUGUAUCUCUGGUUCAUGGAAACAAUUGAUAGUGAUGUUUCUAUGUUAUAAAUAUUCUGAGUUAUGGAAUAGUUAUGUAUAAAACCAUUGAUAUUUUUUUUGUUUA